AAACCUAAUCGAGUCGCUGGAAUCCAGAACCGGCCGCAAGCCUGGAGCGGCGGCAACGGCGAUGAAGCGUUCCCGCCGGUGCGCUGUCCCUCCGCCGGCGACGGCCCAACAACGUCCUACGACGAGGAGGACAGCUGACAAAGUGAUGCUGCUGCUGUUUGAGACGCCCUCUGGAUUUGCAGUUUUCAAUUUUUUUGCGACGCUCAUUGAACAACCAAAUGCCCUGGAGAAAAUAUGGACUAACUUCACUAAGAUUUAGAAGGCCAAGAAUGGAAUAUUUCCAUAAACCACCUAGCGACGACUACAAGCACUAGAACAACAACCGCCACAGAUGAAGGGAAGCGUAGAUCGGAAGGAUCCAACCGGUAGACGCACGAUCGUAGAUGAACGAAGAUCGGAUCCACAGAAGGCAAACGCCAACCGAAUUCCCGCGAGAUCCACCGGAGACAAACCUCCACACACCAUCCAACGACGUUAGAAGCAUCACUGCUGGAGCCCCACCAUGUCUCCCUGAGCAAGACACAACCCCUAGUGAAACUGAAAGAAACACUUAAAAGCAUAGCCCUCCCGCCGGCGAGGACGUGCCUCCAUGGCCCUAAGGGAACAGGAGAUGAGGCAGACCGGCAGAGGCGCGGUGGGAGGGAGCGGAAACCCUAGGUUGGGUGCCCUGUGCACUUAGGAGAAAAGGGGUUGUUUGGCUGAGGCAGUUUCAAACUAUAGAGGACAGUUCUAGCGCCAUUAAUCAAAGCACUGGUGUUAAUGGAAGUCUUACUGAGAUGAUCAUGAAGUAUCACUGCCCUGGGCAGAGAAUGGCUGUUGGAGAGUCUGGAUAUAAAAAAAUCAUUGAAGAAAGAUUGAAAAUAACCUGCGUGUAUGAUCCAACUGUGAUGGAGUUAAUGUGGGGCAUACAGAUUCGUAUGAGACAAUUGGUGCCUAGAGAAAAGUCGUAUCUGCAUGAAUCUCAACUUCUCCCAAUGAGUCAAGGACUACAAAAUGUCUUGAGUCGUUAUCAUUUUACUUAUUUCAACCCGGACAUGGUGAGUUAACUAGUUCACAUGCUUUCCCUUUCAUUUAUAGGGCCAUGACAUUUAGCGUGCCACUGUAUGAUAGUUUCUGUGUUGUACAUUUGGAGUCCUUCAUUUUCACACCAAAGUUCUGAAUGCAACUUCUAGGGAAAGCAUAUCCUUUCGACAUUUGCUUUAGUGAUGAAGCAAUCCUCUUUCUAUCCAGCUCAACGAGAGAAUUCUUAUUAUGGCUUAUGCCUUGUUUGAGUGUGACUCAUUUGAGAACGAGAAGUCUGGAGACUUGCACCAUGUAGCUUCUGUCAUUAAGGAUGUGUCUGGCAUCGAAACUGAUGCUUGGGACUUACUAAAAAUUGCAACAGCUGUGAAGAGGGUAUGGUGCCCUAAAGAAGCUAGCAAUUCUUGUGAGUUUUCAGAACACGAGGUAAAGAGGUUGGUCAAUGAUGCCGAUAAAUAUGAAGUUAAGCUGGAUAAGGAUGCUUGCUUGAAAGUCUCCAGACAAAUGAUAACAGUUUUUCAUUUUAGGAAUGAUAAGAAAAUACUAUUGAAAAAAUAUAUUGCGCAAGCUGAAUAAACGGAACUGCCAGAGAAGCACAAGCUCAUAAUUUGUUCUCUCCAAGAAGUACAUACUAAGCUUGGUUGACUUUAUUAUGUAUCUUUCGCAAGCUACUCUUAUCUGGCAUGCUCAAUAGUACUUUU
Triticum aestivum (bread wheat) is the source of this 1721-nucleotide long non-coding RNA. RefSeq lists it as uncharacterized. The transcript has 7 exons. Lineage: Eukaryota; Viridiplantae; Streptophyta; Magnoliopsida; Poales; Poaceae. The record is from RefSeq and is a predicted model, not a curated record.